GAUGAAGAACGCAGCGAAAUGCGAUAGGUAAUGUGAAUUGCAGAAUUCAGUGAAUCAUCGAAUCUUUGAACGCACAUUGCGCCCUUUGGUAUUCCUUAGGGCAUGCCUGUUCGAGCGUCACUACACACCUUAUCACAAUAUUUGUGGUCUUGGCAGGAGUGAAUUGCUGGUCUAUGGAAGUAUUCCAGCAGUACACAAUGCUAAAAAAUAUGGGAAGGUUACCAGAUAUGAACAACAGACUUUGUAAAUGGUUGUAGGACCUAGAUCAGUCACAAGUCAUGUCUUGUCCCUUACCUUAAGGACCCCCAUCCUAGAUGAACUAUUGGUUGACCUCGGAUCAGGUAGGAAUACCCGCUGAACUUAAGCAUAUCAAUAAGCGGAGGA
RNAcentral lists this unclassified non-coding RNA (384 nucleotides) under soil metagenome. Its description in RNAcentral is "partial contains 5.8S ribosomal RNA, internal transcribed spacer 2, and large subunit ribosomal RNA". The stretch from base 1 to 120 matches the Rfam family "5.8S ribosomal RNA", at positions 35 to 154 of the family's 154-position model. The record is from RNAcentral.